RNAcentral lists this signal recognition particle RNA (295 nucleotides) under Aotus nancymaae (Ma's night monkey). RNAcentral's name for it is "Metazoan signal recognition particle RNA (ENSANAG00000006716.1)". It matches the Rfam family "Metazoan signal recognition particle RNA". From Rfam's summary of the family: The signal recognition particle (SRP) is a universally conserved ribonucleoprotein. The record is from RNAcentral. Lineage: Eukaryota; Metazoa; Chordata; Mammalia; Primates; Aotidae.
GCCAGGUGCAGUGGCACCUGCCUGUAGUCCCAGCUACUUGGGAUGCUGAGGUGGGAGGACCGUUGGAGCCCGGGAGCCCUGUGCUGUAAUGCACUGUGCUGACUGAAUGUCCACACUAAAUUUGGCAUCAAUAUGGUGACCUCCUAAGAGUGAGGACCACCAGGUCACCUAAGGAGUGAACCAGCCCAGGUCAGAUGUGGAGUAUGUCAAAAGUCUUGUGCUGAUCAGUAGUGGGAUUGUGCCUGUGAAUAGCCACCGCACUCCAACCUGGGCAACAUAGCAAGACCCUAUCACU